CGGUUGAUCCUGCCGGAGGCUAUUGCUAUCAGGGUUUGANUAAGCCAUGCGAGUCGAGAGGUGAAAGACCUCGGCAUACUGCUCAGUAACACGUGGAUAAUCUGCCCUCAGGUGAGGAAUAAUCCCGGGAAACUGGGGCUAAUGCCUCAUAGGAGACGGGUGCUGGAAUGCUCUGUCUCUGAAAGGUCCGCCGCCUGAGGAUGAGUCUGCGUCCGAUUAGGUUGUUGUUGGGGUAACGGCCCACCAAGCCAUUGAUCGGUACGGGUUGUGAGAGCAAGAGCCCGGAGAUGGAUUCUGAGACAUGAAUCCAGGCCCUACGGGGCGCAGCAGGCGCGAAAACUUUACAAUGCGAGCAAUCGUGAUAAGGAAACCCUGAGUGCCUGUCAAUGCAGGCUGUUCUGGUGUUUAGUCAGCACCAGGAGAAAGGGCGGGGCAAGACCGGUGCCAGCCGCCGCGGUAAUACCGGCUGCUCGAGUGAUAGCCACUUUUACUGGGCUUAAAGCGUUCGUAGCUUGGUCGUUAAGUCUCUGGGGAAAUCUUUUGGCUCAACCAAAAGACGUCUCAGAGAAACUGGCGACCUUGGGACCGGGAGAGGUAAGACGUACUUCGGGGGUAGGAGUGAAAUCUUGUAAUCCCCGAGGGACGACCGAUGGCGAAGGCAUCUUACCAGAACGGCUCCGACAGUGAGGGACGAAAGCUGGGGGAGCAAACCGGAUUAGAUACCCGGGUAGUCCCAGCCGUAAACGAUGUGCGUUAGGUGUGUCAGUGACCACGAGUCACUGAGGUGCCGAAGGGAAACCGUGAAACGCACCGCCUGGGAAGUACGGUCGCAAGGCUGAAACUUAAAGGAAUUGGCGGGGGAGCAC
This 866-nucleotide ribosomal RNA is filed under the name uncultured archaeon. RNAcentral's name for it is "bacterial SSU rRNA". It matches the Rfam family "Archaeal small subunit ribosomal RNA", at positions 5 to 879 of the family's 1478-position model. The record is from RNAcentral.